GAUGAACGCUGGCGACAUGCCUAACACAUGCAAGUCGAUCGGUAAGGCUCUUCGGAGUACACGAGAGGCGGACGGCUGAGUAACGCGUAGGAACACACCCUGCAGUGAGGGAUAAGACACCGAAAGGUGUUCUAAUACCGCAUACGGUCUUCGGAUUAAAGCAUUUAUGCGCUGAAGGAGUGGCCUGCGUCAUAUUAGAUAGUUGGUGAGGUAAUGGCUCACCAAGUCGAUGAUGUGUAGCUGGUCUGAGAGGAUGAUCAGCCAGACUGGAACUGAGACACGGUCCAGACUCCUACGGGAGGCAGCAGUGAGGAAUAUUUCACAAUGAGCGAAAGCUUGAUGGAGCAAUGCCGCGUGCAGGAUGAAGGCCCUCGGGUUGUAAACUGCUUUUAUAAGAGAAGAUUAUGACAGUAACUUAUGAAUAAGGGACGGCUAACUACGUG
RNAcentral lists this ribosomal RNA (443 nucleotides) under uncultured bacterium. Its description in RNAcentral is "partial 16S ribosomal RNA". It matches the Rfam family "Bacterial small subunit ribosomal RNA", at positions 28 to 507 of the family's 1533-position model. The record is from RNAcentral.